UCUUGGCCGGGCAAAGAAGCGGCAGCCCGCAGCCGUCGGCGUGCUGCAUCGCCCCGGCUGUGCGGCAAGGCGGCAUCAGGCUCAGUGCCAUAGCUUGGAACAGCCGGUUUAGCCCUCGGGGCAGCCGCUCCUCGCAGUGAGACGGAUGUUGGAAGGGGAACAUCACAGGUAAUAACGUCACCAAAAUGUCUUUGUCACCAAGCCACCAGGACGAGGCAAAAUACAGCUAUUUCAACAUGACCUGCAAAUAGUUGGCAUCUCAGAAACCUGCAGCAACACCCAGGCACUUUACAGUUGGGGCCAUGGUCUUGGCAAAAGGAGUAGCCAGCAGGAGUCUGUCUGGAGGCCAUCACCACCUGCCCUAGUUCCAGUGAGGAGUACAAGGCUGGGAGGCUGAAAAUUCCAUUUCAGGCCAACACCAACAUUUUCUUCUGUGAAUACCUUGACUCCUGCUCUCCUUUGGGAGCUUCUUGCCACUGCCUGCCACACAGCAGGUGCCCAGUGCCCUGGCACCACAGAGCAUCCCACUGAGCUGGGCUGUUGGCCAUGGCUGACCCCUCUGCAGCUGCUCUGGUUGUGAAAGCAAUCCCCUUCCAGGGCUGCCAACAGCAAGGGCCAAGCAUGCCUGCAUGCCUGGAGAAGCGGGCCAGCGGAGCUGGAGGACAGGCUGUGCAGCAAGAUCCCUCUUCCACAACUCAGACUGCGGUGCAUUUGGGUGAUCCCAGAUUGUCCAGAUACCUCGCAUGGGGUGAUGCAGGCCUUGGAGAGAACCACCUGUCCAGGAACAGCCCAGUGUGCCUCUCCAUACAGGUGAGGAGCAGAGAGAAAACUAACCCCCAAACUUUUCUUUAUGGGGGGAGACCCAGUCCUGCCGUCUGCCAUCAGGAUUUGGGCCAAAGUGUUUGAUAAAGAGGGAGACCAUCUGGAUUGUCUGAUGGGCUCUGGG
Molecule: long non-coding RNA, 946 nt
Organism: Pogoniulus pusillus (Red-fronted tinkerbird)
Lineage: Eukaryota; Metazoa; Chordata; Aves; Piciformes; Lybiidae
Exons: 3
Source: RefSeq, a predicted model, not a curated record